Molecule: ribosomal RNA, 824 nt
Filed under: uncultured fungus
Lineage: Eukaryota; Fungi
Description: SSU rRNA
Rfam family: Eukaryotic small subunit ribosomal RNA
Source: RNAcentral
GUGCCAGCCGCCGCGGUAAUUCCAGCUCCAAUAGCGUAUAUUAAAGUUGUUGUGGUUAAAAAGCUCGUAGUUGAACCUUGGGCCUGGCUGGCCGGUCCGCCUCACCGCGUGCACUGGUCCGGCCGGGCCUUUCCCUCCGUGGAACCCCAUACCCUUCACUGGGCGUGGCGGGGAAACAGGACAUUUACUUUGAAAAGAUUAGAGUGCUCCAGGCAGGCCUAUGCUCGAAUACAUUAGCAUGGAAUAAUAAAAUAGGACGCGCGGUUCUAUUUUGUUGGUUUAUAGGACCGCCGUAAUGAUUAAUAGGGACAGUCGGGGGCAUCAGUAUUCAACUGUCAGAGGUGAAAUUCUUGGAUCAGUUGAAGACUAACUACUGCGAAAGCAUUUGCCAAGGAUGUUUUCAUUAAUCAGGAACGAAAGUUAGGGGAUCGAAGACGAUCAGAUACCGUCGUAGUCUUAACCAUAAACUAUGCCGACUAGGGAUCGGACGGUGUUAUUCAUGACCCGUUCGGCACCUUACGAGAAAUCAAAGUGCUUGGGCUCCAGGGGGAGUAUGGUCGCGAGGCUGAAACUUAAAGAAAUUGACGGAAGGGCACCACCAGGGGUGGAGCCUGCGGCUUAAUUUGACUCAACACGGGGAAACUCACCAGGUCCAGACACAAUAAGGAUUGACAGAUUGAGAGCUCUUUCUUGAUUUGUGGGUGGUGUGCAUGGCCGUUCUUAGUUGGUGGGGUGACUUGUCUGCUUAAUUGCGAUAACGAACGAGACCUUAACCUGCUAAAUAGCCCGCAUUGCUCCGGCAGUGCGCUGGCUUCUUAGAGGAA